AAUAAAAUUCUAGAUAGAUGACUGAUAAUGACAAUCUUCUAUUUAUAUGUCUUGACCAAAUCUUGUGCCAGCAGUCGCGGCAAUACAAGGGAGACUAGUGUUAUUCAUCUUUAUUAGGUUUAAAGGGUGCCUAGACUGUAUUUCUAGCCUCAAAAAGGAACAGAUUUACUAGAGUUUUAUGUGUGAGGUAGAUAUUAGAACUAUUGGUGUAGAGAUGAAAUUUUUUGAUACUAAUGGAACGGAUAACAGCGAAAGCAGACCUCUAUCAACAAACUGACGUUGAGGAACGAAGGCUUGGGGAGCGAAUAGGAUUAGAUACCCUAGUAGUCCAGGCAGAGAAUUAUGAAUGUUAUAGGCUAAAUGAAAAAUUAGUGUAUAAAUGAAAGUGUAAGCAUUCCACCUCAAGAGUAAUGUGGCAACGCAGGAACUGAAAUCAUUAGACCGUUUCUGAAACCAGUAGUGAAGUAUGUUAUUUAAUUCGAUAAUCCUCGAAAAACCUUACCACAAUUUGAAUAGUAUUUAAUUAAAUGUU
RNAcentral lists this ribosomal RNA (532 nucleotides) under Racodium rupestre. RNAcentral's name for it is "bacterial SSU rRNA". It matches the Rfam family "Bacterial small subunit ribosomal RNA", at positions 442 to 1004 of the family's 1533-position model. The record is from RNAcentral. Lineage: Eukaryota; Fungi; Ascomycota; Dothideomycetes; Racodiales; Racodiaceae.